ACUUCACCCACUAAAUCUAUGGCACAUUAGCAAUUAUAUUUAUGAAUUGAGAGCAAUUUCACAAGGUAAUCACGAACAGUAGAAGUGAACCCACUAACCCAUGUUUGUCGUCUAAUCUAGAAACUCCCACGUACGGUUUCUUGAAACAUUUCAUUAGCAAUUUUUUUCUUAUUUAGAUCCCCAACUAGCAAAUUCCGACUGUUUUUGACUGGUCAUGAUUUUAUUUCACAAGAUUUGUUAUCGUGUUUGAUGCUCACCUGUGUCUACCUUGGUAAGAAAUCGAAGGGAAAAUUAGAAUCCAUGGAAUAAUUGUUACGUUUGGAUUGAUUCCUUUUUUUUUCUUUUCUUUUUUUAAAGUUUCAUGGCAGAUCCUUUGGGGAUAAGUAUUAGGAUUGGUUUCCAAUCUCCAUUUGUUUUAUAGUAAGUCCAACUCUUCGUAUGUUUCCCUUGGUCAUAUUACUGAUGUAUUUCACUUUUUUAUGUGACAUUUCCUGAAUAAUUUAAUCAACGAGAAUGGGAGGUGGAUUUAGAGUGCUACAUCUGGUUCGACCUUUCCUUUCGCUUCUCCCAGAGGUUCAAAGUGCAGACAAGAAGGUUAUAUACACUGUUAGAUCUCUGUUCAUUUUCCUGGUCUGCAUCCAACUUUCUAUUGUAUGGCAUACACUCUACAACUGGCGCAGAUCCAUUCUAUUGGAUGCGUGUGAUUCUCGCCUCAAACAGAGGCACAAUGAUGGAGCUUGGAAAUGCAGGCCAAAGUCGAGGAAGAAAUGGGAGCCGAGAGUUCCUUGAACCCGAGGCUCUUCUUCUAAAUGAAUCUGAACUUCAUUAUCACCAGUUGAAGGUAUCAGCCAAGCAUGAAGUAGUUCUGCCCUCAACCUUCCAAUCCCCAAAUGGGCUAUCGAUCUAGGACGCCAUUCGUGGCUGCUCCAUAUAUAUUUAUUCUCCAUACGGAUAUGGAAAAGUCUUGAGGCUUAGAGUGCCCAUGAGAUACAUACAGCCCUUAUACUUCUGAUCCUCAGGGUCUCAAGCCUUAUGUUCGUGGAGUAAUCAAUAGUCUUUAAGUGCUUUUUUUUCUAUCUAAGUGAUGUUAUUGGUGGAGGUGAUAUGUAAGAAAAGUGAAGCUUUUAGUGAAAUCACUUUGCUCUUAUGUUUUUGGGUAUGAAUUAUAACGAUUGAUUCGUUUU
Molecule: long non-coding RNA, 1184 nt
Organism: Salvia miltiorrhiza (redroot sage)
Lineage: Eukaryota; Viridiplantae; Streptophyta; Magnoliopsida; Lamiales; Lamiaceae
Exons: 2
Source: RefSeq, a predicted model, not a curated record